RNAcentral lists this unclassified non-coding RNA (433 nucleotides) under Hevea brasiliensis (rubber tree). Lineage: Eukaryota; Viridiplantae; Streptophyta; Magnoliopsida; Malpighiales; Euphorbiaceae. The record is from RNAcentral.
UGAAAAAGAUAAAGAUGAUUCUGAUGAUGAAAAUGGUAAUAAAGAUGAUAUCAUCAAAAUCUAUGCUCCUUUGAGCCUGUGGGGUCAACAAUCUCCCCCUUUUUGAUGAUGACAAAACUCAAUUGAAUCACCAUGUAAAUAUUAAUAAGUGUGAGUAUGUGUAUGAAUGUAUAUGUGAGAAUAACUCCCCCUAUGUAUGUGCUUAUAUCAACAAUUAAUCACAAAUAACUCCCCUUUGAUAAUUUCAAUGAAAUAUUCAUAAGCAUUUUCUUACGGAGUCAAGUGUGACUAAAGAUACUAACUAAAUAUGCACAAUAUGCACACUAAUCACAAACUGUAUAUCAUUCACAAGUUAUAUCAACAAUAUGCACACUAUAAAGUUAUAUCAACAAUAUACUAUUCACAAGCUAUAUCAACCACAAGUAAUCACAAG